ACAUUGCUGACGAGUGCCAAAAUAGCACGAAACUUAAGUCCAAGGU
Molecule: non-coding RNA, 46 nt
Organism: Schistosoma haematobium
Lineage: Eukaryota; Metazoa; Platyhelminthes; Trematoda; Strigeidida; Schistosomatidae
Source: Rfam